RNAcentral lists this ribosomal RNA (497 nucleotides) under uncultured bacterium. RNAcentral describes it as "partial 16S ribosomal RNA". It matches the Rfam family "Bacterial small subunit ribosomal RNA", at positions 28 to 507 of the family's 1533-position model. The record is from RNAcentral.
GAUGAACGCUGGCGGCGUGCCUAAUACAUGCAAGUCGAGCGAACGGACGAGAAGCUUGCUUCUCUGAUGUUAGCGGCGGACGGGUGAGUAACACGUGGAUAACCUACCUAUAAGACUGGGAUAACUUCGGGAAACCGGAGCUAAUACCGGAUAAUAUUUUGAACCGCAUGGUUCAAAAGUGAAAGACGGUCUUGCUGUCACUUAUAGAUGGAUCCGCGCUGCAUUAGCUAGUUGGUAAGGUAACGGCUUACCAAGGCAACGAUGCAUAGCCGACCUGAGAGGGUGAUCGGCCACACUGGAACUGAGACACGGUCCAGUCUCCUACGGGAGGCAGCAGUAGGGAAUCUUCCGCAAUGGGCGAAAGCCUGACGGAGCAACGCCGCGUGAGUGAUGAAGGUCUUCGGAUCGUAAAACUCUGUUAUUAGGGUAGAACAUAUGUGUAAGUAACUGUGCACAUCUUGACGGUACCUAAUCAGAAAGCCACGGCUAACUACGUG